RNAcentral lists this ribosomal RNA (433 nucleotides) under uncultured bacterium. RNAcentral's name for it is "partial 16S ribosomal RNA". It matches the Rfam family "Bacterial small subunit ribosomal RNA", at positions 29 to 507 of the family's 1533-position model. The record is from RNAcentral.
AACGAACACUGGCGGCAUGCCUAACACAUGCAAGUCGAGCGAGACCUUCGGGCCUAGUGGCGCACGGGUGCGUAACGCGUGGGAACAUGCCCUUAGGUUCGGAAUAACUCCCCGAAAGGGGUGCGAAUACCGGAUAAUGUCUUCGGACCAAAGAUUGAUCGCCUUUGGAUGGGCCCGCGUUGGAUUAGCUAGUUGGUAGGGUAAACGCCUACCAAGGCGACGAUCCAUAGCUGGUCUGAGAGGAUGAUCAGCGACACUGGGACUGAGCCGCGGCCCAGAAUCCUACGGGAGGCAGCAGUGGGGAAUAUUGGACAGUGGGCGAAAGGCUGAUCCAGCUAUGCCGCGUGAGUGAUGAAGGCCUUAGGGUUGUAAAGCUCUUUUACCCGGGAUGAUAAUGACAGUACCGGGAGAAUAAGCUCCGGCUAACUCCGUG